RNAcentral lists this ribosomal RNA (332 nucleotides) under uncultured Pseudomonas sp. RNAcentral's name for it is "bacterial SSU rRNA". It matches the Rfam family "Bacterial small subunit ribosomal RNA", at positions 1051 to 1382 of the family's 1533-position model. Lineage: Bacteria; Pseudomonadati; Pseudomonadota; Gammaproteobacteria; Pseudomonadales; Pseudomonadaceae. The record is from RNAcentral.
GUCGUCAGCUCGUGCGUGAGAUGUUGGGUUAAGUCCGUAACGAGCGCAACCCUUGUCCUUAGUUACCAGCACGUUAUGGUGGGCACUCUAAGGAGAACUGCCGGUGACAAACCGGAGGAAGGUGGGGAGUGACGUCAAGUCAUCAUGGCCCUUACGGCCUGGGCUACACACGUGCUACAAUGGUCGGUACAAAGGGUUGCCAAGCCGCGAGGUGGAGCUAAUCCCAUAAAACCGAUCGUAGUCCGGAUCGCAGUCUGCAACUCGACUGCGUGAAGUCGGAAUCGCUAGUAAUCGUGAAUCAGAAUGUCACGGUGAAUACGUUCCCGGGCCUU